This 559-nucleotide ribosomal RNA is filed under the name uncultured archaeon. RNAcentral's name for it is "bacterial SSU rRNA". It matches the Rfam family "Archaeal small subunit ribosomal RNA", at positions 897 to 1457 of the family's 1478-position model. The record is from RNAcentral.
GCAGUUUAAUUGGAUUCAACGCCGGAAAUCUCACCGGGGGCGACAGCAUGAUGAAGGCCAGGCUGAAGUCCUUGCCUGAUCCGCUGAGAGGUGGUGCAUGGCCGUCGUCAGUUCGUACUGUGAAGCAUCCUGUUAAGUCAGGCAACGAGCGAGACCCACGCCCACAGUUGCCAGCGAGCCCUUCGGGGUGGCGGGUACUCUGUGGGGACCGCCGCUGCUAAAGCGGAGGAAGGAAUGGGCAACGGUAGGUCAGUAUGCCCCGAAUCUCCCGGGCUACACGCGGGCUACAAUGGUCGGUACAAUGGGUAUCUACCCCGAAAGGGGAAGGAAAUCUCUUAAAGCCAAUCGUAGUUCGGAUUGAGGGCUGCAACUCGCCCUCAUGAAGCUGGAAUCCGUAGUAAUCGCGUUUCAACAGAACGCGGUGAAUACGUCCCUGCUCCUUGCACACACCGCCCGUCAAACCACCCGAGUAGGGUCCGGAUGAGGGUGCGCCAUGUUGACGCAUUCGAAUCUGGGCUAAAAAGGGGGGUUAAGUCGUAACAAGGUAACCAAGGGCGAA